RNAcentral lists this long non-coding RNA (884 nucleotides) under Bos indicus x Bos taurus (hybrid cattle). RNAcentral's name for it is "lncRNA (ENSBIXG00005020071.1)". The record is from RNAcentral. Lineage: Eukaryota; Metazoa; Chordata; Mammalia; Artiodactyla; Bovidae.
CACAAUCCUGGAUCCUUCUCCCCACCCAGGGAGGGGGAGUAAGGGGACCCUCCCCUGCAGACAGCAAGAGCCUGUCUCCCCUCCACUGUCUUGUCAGGGGACCCAGGACGGGAGGCUGCCCCCCUCUUUCUCCUCAAUCCAGCCAGCUGUCCCUGAUGGGUCCUCCUGUGUCUGUACCCAGGUGCCCUGAUGGGAAGAUCAUGGUUAUGGACUGUACCCCCUGGAGCAACAUCAAUUGUGUGGACCAAGAAUCAGGUACCCCGGCCCAAUGGGGAGGCUCCAGUUCCUGGAGAGCAACCAUGAGCCAGAGACUACCCAUUACUCCCUCUCCCUCCUCAGGCCCUCCUUCAAGGCUGAUGAUUGCAAUAAUUGUAAUUGGACUUGUAAUCACGCUGUCCUAAUCGGAUGUAUGGUAUGGUGCCUGCUUGAAAGGUCUCUUUAAUGAGUGCUGGCACAAGGUGAUCGGUUUCUCCAGCAUCUGGCGGCCUCAGACCCUCAGUAACUGCAUCACAACAAAGCCCAGGGUGGACACGGAAAAGAAGCUGACAGAAGACAACGCCCAGUCCCGAGAUGCAGCAAGCAGACUGCCUGUUGGUGAGUGUGGGGCUCUGGCCCUUCUGCUUGCUUGGGACUGUGGUAGAGACAGGGAGAGGCAAUGGGUCAGGUCUCCUCUUCUCUGGGGAGGUGGUGAUGGAGGGAGACCGGGGCAUGGAGGGAAGGGAGCCCACCCCCUGCUCUGGAGAGAGACCAGGGCAUGGAGGGGAAGGGAGCCCACCCCCUGUUCUGUUCCACUGGCAGCUCUGAUGCUACUUCUCAUCUGUCUUGUCACCACAUCCCUGUCUAGAACAGGGCAGGCGAAGAGUAAUCACUCCUCCCAUGACUGA